AGUCGAACGGCAGCACGGACUUCGGUCUGGUGGCGAGUGGCGAACGGGUGAGUAAUGUAUCGGAACGUGCCUAGUAGCGGGGGAUAACUACGCGAAAGCGUAGCUAAUACCGCAUACGCCCUUCGGGGGAAAGCGGGGACCUUCGGGCCUCGCACUAUUAGAGCGGCCGAUAUCGGAUUAGCUAGUUGGUGGGGCAGUGGCUCACCAAGGCGACGAUCCGUAGCUGGUUUGAGAGGACGACCAGCCACACUGGGACUGUAUACGGCCCAGACUCCUACGGGAGGCAGCAGUGGGGAAUUUUGGACAAUGGGGAAACCCCGAUCCAGCCAUCCCGCGUGUGCGAUGAAGGCCUUCGUUGUAAAGUGAAUUUUUGGCAGGAAAGAAACGGCACGGGAUAAUACCCCGUGCAACUGACGGUACCUGCAGAAUAAGCACCGGCUAACUACGCCAGCAGCCGCGGUAAUACGUGUAGGGUGCAAGCGUUAAUCGGAAUUACUGGCGUAAGCGCGUGCGCAGGCGGUUCGGAAAGAAAGAUGUGAAAUCCCAGAGCUUAACUUUGGAACUGCAUUUUUAACUACCGAGCUAGAGUGUGUCAGAGGGAGGUGGAAUUCCGCGUGUAGCAGCAGAAACAGGCAGCGUGAGAACUCCGAUGGCGAAGGCGGCUUCCGACAACCGUCUGACGCUCAGCAGCAACGUGAAAGCGGAGUAAACGAGAUCAGGAUACGCCAUGUCAUGCACGAAACGAUGUAAAGUCAACUAAUGUUGGGGCCUUCGGCACUUAUAUAAAGCAGCGACAAUGCAAGUUGAUCGCCUGGGAAAGUAUUGUCGCGCAAGAUUAAAACUCAAAGGAAUUGACGGGGACCCGCACAAGCGGUGGAUGAUGUGGAUUAAUUCGAUGCAACGCGAAAAACCUUACCUACCCUUGACAUGUCUGGAAUCCCGAAGAGAUUUGGGAGUGCUCGCAAGAGAACCGAACACAGGUGCCGCAUGGCUGUCGUCAGCUCGUGGCCGAGAUGUUGGGCUAAGUCCCGCAACGAGCGCAACCCUUGUCAUUAGUUGCUACGAAAGGGCACUCUAACGAGACUGCCGGUGACAAACCGGAGGAAGGUGGGGAUGACGUCAAGUCCUCAUGGCCCUUAUGGGUAGGGCUUCACACGUCAUACAAUGGUCGGGACAGAGGGUCGCCAACCGCGAGGGGGAGCCAAUCCCAGAAACCCGAUCGUAGGCCGAUCGCAGUCUGCAACUCGACUGCGUGAAGUCGGAAUCGCUAGUAAUCGCGGAUCAGCAUGUCGCGUGAAUACGUUCCCCGGUCUUGUACACACCGCCCGUCACACCAUGGGAGUGGGUUUUACCAGAAGUAGUUAGCCUAACCGUAAGGAGGGCGAUUACCACGGUAGGAUUCAUGACUGGGGUGGGAAGUCAAACUGUAAGGUAA
Molecule: ribosomal RNA, 1435 nt
Filed under: uncultured Bordetella sp.
Lineage: Bacteria; Pseudomonadati; Pseudomonadota; Betaproteobacteria; Burkholderiales; Alcaligenaceae
Description: partial 16S-23S ribosomal RNA intergenic spacer
Rfam family: Bacterial small subunit ribosomal RNA
Source: RNAcentral